AGUGGGAUAGCUUGGUUAAAUGGUGGUUCCAAUUCAAGUUUUCUAAGGACCCUCUAUAUUGCUUUCCAAAGUGGUUGCACCAUUUUUCAAUCCCAGCAGCAAU
Molecule: microRNA precursor, 103 nt
Filed under: Marmota monax (woodchuck)
Lineage: Eukaryota; Metazoa; Chordata; Mammalia; Rodentia; Sciuridae
Source: RNAcentral